Molecule: long non-coding RNA, 3224 nt
Filed under: Hordeum vulgare
Lineage: Eukaryota; Viridiplantae; Streptophyta; Magnoliopsida; Poales; Poaceae
Description: long non-coding RNA (HVUL_LNC000145)
Source: RNAcentral
UGGUGACAUCUGCAUCUUUGUACCGGUUAAGGGUGGGGAAAGGUACACAUUCACGGUCCAUGUAGUCCGUGCAGAAGCUACUCAUCAUAGGGGUGUUAAAAGGAUUCGCUCAACCCAUGAUUCUCCCGUUAGUGGGAAAGGAAUGGCAAAUCCAGAUGUCAUUUAGAAAUGGCAAACGAUGGAUGCACUCGUACAUGGUUGGAAGCAAGUUUGUCCACGGCAAUGAUCUGUAUUCUGGGGACAUGUACCAUGCUUGUCCCAUAUCAUUUCCAGAGAUCGGCUCUGGCUUCUAGCGGGGCAGAAUGAUGCUGCUAGCACCUGCGUGCUCUUUCUGGUUGUACUACCAUGGUUGUCUGGUUGUACUCCUAUAUAUCCAUCCUGAAAGGAGCUGCUAAGUUGAAAUGAGCCAUGUUGAGACUUUGUUCGUUUCGCAGGAUGAAUAUUGCAAGUUCAUUUUUGUCUAGUGUUUGUUUCAUCAGCAUGUACGCCGAGGCUUGUGGUACAGCUAGCUGUGUUUUGCUGUGCUGGUGCUUUAAGGGAUCUUGGUUCUUUUGUCAUCUGGAGGCUGUUGCCUGAGAGAAGAUCCUAAAAUCAGAAUUUGUGCAACUAAAUUUUGUUGCCACAGCGUCUUUAAGAUUAGUAAAUUCUCCCAACAACAUCUCAACAAAUAAAUUAAACUCCCAACAAGAACUUGUGAUAGAGCAGGAAUCUUGCAUUGAAUUGAAAUCAUUCAGCACUUACUCAAAAGCUCACGAAGUCAUGAUAUAAGAGGCAGUAGCAUUGCUUUUUUCCUGUCACUUCUCAUGUUCAUCCAUAUAAUGCAAUAUCCAGCAAGCAAAUAUGCAAGAGAGAGAAAGCAAACUGAAGAUGAUUCAACUUUAGAGUCUUCUAAAUUGGAAUGAGAGAAAGCAAACACAUAUGUUGCUGCUGUUAUCAAUGAACUGGUAAUAGAUCACUUUGUUUGACAGCCGGUCUGCACCAUCAAUUAGAGUUUAAAGGAUCGUAGUACAUCACUGUUCUUGAAGUCAAUCUUCUCAGGAUAACAAGCAAGAUUUUUUUUUUACCGGAACAACCACUGCAAAUUUGAUGGAGCCUUUAUUGAGCAAACCUCCAUAGAGUAGUUGGGUUUGAAUUGGGAGGUACUGUAAACAAUAAAUAGAUGACACCCCGCGCUUUGCCGAGGGAAUUCUUAGUCAUAUGCACUCUCUCCGUAAACUAUUAUAAGAGCAUUUAGAAUACUACUUUAGUAAUCUAAACACUCUUAUAUUAGUUUACAGAGGGAGUACAUGAUAUAAUAUAUAAACUGAAUAAUCUGCUUUCAUAGUAGGCAUAUGAUAUUAAGAUUUUUUUUUGGAACACCCUACUCCAGAGUAUGGUUAAAAGAUGAACAUCCUCGUGCACUCUACACGCAAUAAAGAAGAAUACAUUGUCCGAGCGAUUUUGUAGGUGUGUGAUCGCAUACUUUUUUAAUCCACGCAGAAGCUACUCAUUCACGGUCCAUAUAAUCCGUGCAGAAGCUACUCAUCAUUUUUUUGAUAAAGGGAAUACAUUAAUAUCGUGAAGAUACCAAUUACACCUAGCCUCUGCACCAAUAAGACAUCCAAAGACACCAGGGAUGCACACAACGAAGAACAAAAUAAACAAGAGAGAAAAUAAAAACAAAGACUCCGUCGCGGUGUACAACACCUCGCAACACAAGCACUCUAACCGUCAUCGAAUACAACACCAGUACUACAACCUAGGCUCUCCAAAAGCAACACCUCAAAGAAGAAAACAAUGCACAAGCGUUGUUGUCGCUCGAUCGAAGAUCUUGGGUUUUCACCCCGGAGAAAGACCGAGUUUCCAAAACAAUGUCUUCAACAAGGCCAUUGCCAGGUACAACCAAUGAUGGCCAGACCUUGGGUUUUCACCCUGGAAAUCAAGGCUCAGUACUCGACGAGCACCACCAAAGAUGCAGUCCACCUGUGUUGCCACACCCGCUUGCCCAGGCUGCUGCUGCGAGUCACCGCACACCCGACACACAGGAAGAACCUGUGCCGCGUUGUCUUCAACACAACCAACCAACCACCAAUCACAGCCACCAUGACUUUCUCCAACUCUGUCAGAUCCAUGGAAAUCUAUGUCCCAUAUCACCGAACGGUAGACGAAGCUUCACACGGCGCCCCGGAAGGGUGCGCACGACCGCAUCGAUUUCUCUUUGGAUCUCGAGUAGUAUCAUGUGCCACUGCGGAGAUCACUGAAAAGAAGACCGGAACUGGUCGGCGGCCAGAUCGAGGUGGUCGACAUGAAGCCAGGCCGAAACUCUGCAGGGUCGGACCCCAUAUAAUCGAAACCUGGCCAACGACCGCCACACUACCGGCUAUCACCGACCGCCCGUCCCACCGGAAGAGGCCGAUAGAAAGAAGGCGACCCCGGCUGCCAUGCUCGCAAGCACCACGACGAGCCACGCUGCGGCGGAGAGGAACACGAGACGGCCGCACGAGCGCCGCAGCCGCGGCCCAGUCAGACCCAGUCCAUCACCAGCCACGCCACCGCCCCGAUCCGCCGCUCCACCACCGCAAGAACCCGCCGCCUCGCCGGAUCGGGUGCCACGCCAAACUGUACACGACCCAUCAGCUCGUCCUCUCCGCCGAACAAGAAGAACAGAGGUGCGUCUUCCUCGACCUCACCGCCUUCGACGGCCAGCGUGCCGCCAGGCGGUGGUGGCGGCCAGAGAUGCUUGGUGAUUAGGUUUUUUUUGGUGGAGGCGUGUUUGCCCUGGAGCCGCACGCGCGUGCGACCCGGAGGCGUGGUCAGGAUCUAAAAAUUGAUGGACACAUCCUUUUUAAAUAUGAGUACUAGGAUUUUAAUUCUCGAUUACGAACCAAGCUUAGUCCUCAAUAAAUGAGUGAGUACUAGGAAAGCCUGGUCCUCAAGAAUAAGUAGGAACCUAAAUUCACCUCUGUCAGGAAAGCCUGGUCCUCAAGAAUAAAUAGGAACCUAAAUUUACCUUCACGAGAAUUUGAACUCAGGUGUUGGGUUUGUACAUCCACUCCCCUAACCAGUUGAGCUAGGCUCACUUCCCAUUAGGGUGUUAAAAGGGUUCAGUCAACCCAUGAUUCUCCGGUUAGUGGGGAAGGAAUGACAAAUCCAGAUGUCGUUUAGGAAUGGCAAGAUGCACUCGUAAAUGGUUGGAAGCAAGUUUGUCCACGGCAAUGGUCUGUAUUCUGGGGACAUGUACCAUG